RNAcentral lists this ribosomal RNA (253 nucleotides) under uncultured bacterium. RNAcentral describes it as "partial 16S ribosomal RNA". It matches the Rfam family "Bacterial small subunit ribosomal RNA", at positions 524 to 776 of the family's 1533-position model. The record is from RNAcentral.
UACGAAGGGUGCAAGCGUUAAUCGGAAUUACUGGGCGUAAAGCGUGCGCAGGCGGCUUUGCAAGACAGAUGUGAAAUCCCCGGGCUCAACCUGGGAACUGCAUUUGUGACUGCAAGGCUAGAGUACGGCAGAGGGGGAUGGAAUUCCGCGUGUAGCAGUGAAAUGCGUAGAUAUGCGGAGGAACACCAAUGGCGAAGGCAAUCCCCUGGGCCUAUACUGACGCUCAUGCACGAAAGCGUGGGGAGCAAACAGG